GUAUGUGUCGCGCAAUUGGUUAGCGCGUUCGGCUGUUAACCGAAGGGUUGGUGGUUCAAGCCCACCCAGGGACG
Molecule: transfer RNA, 74 nt
Filed under: Petromyzon marinus (sea lamprey)
Lineage: Eukaryota; Metazoa; Chordata; Hyperoartia; Petromyzontiformes; Petromyzontidae
Description: tRNA-Asn (GTT) (tRNA-Asn-GTT-63-1)
Rfam family: tRNA
About the family: Transfer RNA (tRNA) molecules are approximately 80 nucleotides in length. Their secondary structure includes four short double-helical elements and three loops (D, anti-codon, and T loops).
Source: RNAcentral